UACGUAGGUGGCAAGCGUUGUCCGGAAUUACUGGGUGUAAAGGGUGCGUAGGCGGGUGUCAAAGUCAGGUGUGAAAAACCACGGCUCAACUGUGGUCCUGCACUUGAAACUUGAUAUCUUGAGUGAGGUAGAGGUAAGCGGAAUUCCAAGUGUAGCGGUGAAAUGCGUAGAUAUUUGGAGGAACACCAGUGGCGAAGGCGGCUUACUGGGCCUUAACUGACGCUGAAGCACGAAAGCAUGGGGAG
This 245-nucleotide ribosomal RNA is filed under the name uncultured bacterium. RNAcentral describes it as "partial 16S ribosomal RNA". It matches the Rfam family "Bacterial small subunit ribosomal RNA", at positions 524 to 768 of the family's 1533-position model. The record is from RNAcentral.